GUGAACCUCAGUCAGGUCGGUCCA
RNAcentral lists this ribosomal RNA (24 nucleotides) under Dioclea sp. EAC 30896. RNAcentral describes it as "partial large subunit ribosomal RNA". The record is from RNAcentral. Lineage: Eukaryota; Viridiplantae; Streptophyta; Magnoliopsida; Fabales; Fabaceae.